CGGACGGGUGAGUAACGCGUAUGCAACCUACCCUUGAGCGGGGGACAAUCACGGGAAACCGUGGCUAAUACCGCAUAAAAUCUCGGUUGCGCCUGCAACCGAGAUCAAAGCCUUCGGGCGCUCUUGGAUGGGCAUGCGUCGGAUUAGCUUGUUGGUGAGGUAGAAGCUCACCAAGGCAACGAUCCGUAGCUGGUCUGAGAGGAUGAUCAGCCACACUGGCACUGAGACACGGGCCAGACUCCUACGGGAGGCAGCAGUGGGGAAUCUUGCACAAUGGAGGAAACUCUGAUGCAGCCACGCCGCGUGGAGGAAGACACCCCUAUGGGGCGUAAACUCCUUUUCUGCCGGAAGAAAACCCUGGUCUCCAGGGCGUGACGGUACGGCAGGAAUAAGCACCGGCUAACUCCGUGCCAGCAGCCGCGGUAAUACGGAGGGUGCAAGCGUUGUCCGGAAUUACUGGGUGUAAAGGGUGCGCAGGCGGGGCAGCAAGUCAGAGGUGAAAGCCCACGGCUUAACCGUGGAAGUGCCUUUGAAACUGCUGUUCUUGAGUCCCGGAGAGGUCGUCGGAAUUCGUGGUGUAGCGGUGAAAUGCGUAGAUAUCACGAGGAACACCAGAGGCGAAAGCGGACGACUGGACGGGUACUGACGCUCAGGCACGAAAGCGUGGGGAGCAAACAGGAUUAGAUACCCUGGUAGUCCACGCCGUAAACGAUGGAUGUUAGACGUUGCCUCCUCUGAGGGGCAGUGUCCAAGCUAACGCGUUAAACAUCCCACCUGGGGAGUACGAUCGCAAGGUUGAAACUCAAAGGAAUUGACGGGGGCCCGCACAAGCGGUGGAGCAUGUGGCUUAAUUCGAUGCAACGCGAAGAACCUUACC
This 877-nucleotide ribosomal RNA is filed under the name uncultured bacterium. RNAcentral describes it as "bacterial SSU rRNA". It matches the Rfam family "Bacterial small subunit ribosomal RNA", at positions 99 to 975 of the family's 1533-position model. The record is from RNAcentral.